Caretta caretta (loggerhead turtle) is the source of this 615-nucleotide long non-coding RNA. RefSeq lists it as uncharacterized. NCBI's taxonomy places the organism in Eukaryota, Metazoa, Chordata, Testudines, Cheloniidae. The record is from RefSeq and is a predicted model, not a curated record.
ACUUGGUUUGCAUUCGCUAUCGUAAGGCAUUAUGGGAGGUGUAGUUCUUAGUGUUUCAUGCUAUUAGUUCUCUGCAUUGUUUUGUAUUAUCCGGAGCAGAGCAUUGUGGGAGUUAUCAUUCUUUUCACAUCUGAGUUAGUUUUGAGACUACUUCAUAGAAUCACCUAAAUCUGCAACCCCAGAAUAUUGUAAAGCAAUUUUAUUGUCUUUCACGUAUAGAUGAACCAACCUGUGUUACGUGCAUGUUACAGAAUCAUAUCACAGAAAACUACUAGAGAGACAAGGUGGAUGACUAAGUGGCCAAUGCCAGCUGCCCCAGAGGGAAUGAACAGAACAGUUGUGAUCCUGCAAGUUGUUCUACAUAAGUGGAUCCCUGAGUCAAACAGUGUCUUUUUCUGGUUUGCGGAAGUGUGUAACACAUUAUUUUGGGCGCUACCACAAUCUAAAUAAUAAUGUACAAAGCUUUGGGUAUUUGAUAUGUUCUGUUCUAAACUACACAAACUUAAGUACCUACAAAAAAGUCAAUAAACAGAUCAGACCACAAUGGAGUUAUAACACACACACUCAUGUACCUGACAUUUGUAAUAGCAUAUUUAAAUUUUAAAUGCAGGUAUG